AACGCGAAGAACCUUACCAAGGUUUGACAUGGCCGGAAAACUCGCAGAGAUGCGGGGUCCUUCGGGGCCGGUCACAGGUGGUGCAUGGCUGUCGUCAGCUCGUGUCGUGAGAUGUUGGGUUAAGUCCCGCAACGAGCGCAACCCUCGUCCCAUGUUGCCAGCAGGUAAAGCUGGGGACUCAUGGGAGACUGCCGGGGUCAACUCGGAGGAAGGUGGGGAUGACGUCAAGUCAUCAUGCCCCUUAUGUCUUGGGCUGCAAACAUGCUACAAUGGCCGGUACAAAGCGCUGCGACAUCGUGAGAUGAAGCGAAUCGCAUAAAGCCGGUCUCAGUUCGGAUCGGGGUCUGCAACCCGGCCCCGUGAAGCCGGAGUCGCUAGUAAUCGCGGAUCAGCAACGCCGCGGUGAAUACGUUCCCGGGCCUUGUACACACCGAUAGC
Molecule: ribosomal RNA, 438 nt
Filed under: uncultured bacterium
Lineage: Bacteria
Description: bacterial SSU rRNA
Rfam family: Bacterial small subunit ribosomal RNA
Source: RNAcentral